UUAGGAGAAACACCUAAUGUAGGAGAUGGUGGGGAUGGAUGCAGCAAACCACCAUGCAUGUGUAUAUCUAUGUAACAGUCCUGCACGCUCUGCACAUGUACCCCAGAACUUAAAGUAUAAUAAAAAAAUAAAUAAGAAUAAAUUUAAAAAAAAGAAAUGGUAAAAAAAAAAAAAAAAGUGUGCCUGCCUUUCCCAUAGUUGCACUAGGGUGAUUUGAGAGGCCACUAGCUUGAACCUGCUGAAUUCUAGGAAACUCUCAUUAAGAUUAAAAUGAGUGGGGCUUCACAGUAUCUCAGCUCCAUACACUUCGAAUGGAGAGAAGAGCAUUCUACAAAUGAACUGAGCAGCAGGUAUCAGGAUUUUCUUUUUUUGUUACAUCACUAAGAAGAUAAGAAUUAUUUUUAAAAUGCUGAUGACUAAAUAGAAAAUCAAAUUUCCAGCAUGUUCAGGAAGAAAUAUUAGUUCAAUGGAACAAUUCAGUAUUUCAGUGUUUACUGUAGCUAUCUAGCUAUCAAAAAGGGAGACUAGAAAUGAUAGUUUUAAAAAAUCAGUGUUCUAUUUAAAGAAUUAAAGGAGUUAGCCAAGAACAAGUACAGUAAACAUUUCAAGUUUCUACCAAAAAUCAUUCUGAUAAUUAUCCUGCUUUAUCUGGUAUAUCUCUCGUGAGAAUCUUAACCCCUGACAACGUUCUUUUCUAUGAUGUUAUCGUUUAAUUAAGCAGCUCCUUUCAGUUCCCCAAGGACUUCUUACACCUUUAUUUUUUUUUUGAAAUUAAAGAAUGCCCUUUAGAAUCUUUUGAUAUCAUCUUAAAGCUAUUCAGGUUUCUGGCAUCACUCAAAACAAUCAUAUUGUUUUUAUGUCACUAGUAAUAAGGAGAUUCACUGUAAGACAACAGUUUUUCUACCUUUUAAUACAAGGCAUAUAUGAAUAAAAUAAAAAUAAAUCUGUAAAAUAACAUUGGGAAAAAAUCUAUAUUUAAUGAGAACAAAUGAUGCCUGUUUUAUAUUCUACCCUUAAAAAUUCUAUUGAAAAAUUUCUGAAGACAUCCCGAUGAGUAAUUGUCAUUAUUCAGGUAUAGCUAACUUGAUCAUUUAAAGCAUAAUUUCACGACUUAUGAGUAUCACAUCUCUCAGUAUGAUAUACUACAUGGACAAUCUUCAGCUUUGCCAGUGUUAUUGAGGGAAACACGAUGGUAAGGGUGUCAGAUUUUCCUGCUGGAAACUAUUGAAGGACAAUGUUGUAAGUAGGAGACUGUGUAAUCUUGCCCAGUGAUUCAAUGUCAUCAAUUACUGGUGAACGAUUGAACGGAUGUAAUUUAUCAUUUUUGAAAUUAUUUCAAAUAGUAAAACACAUUUUAAUAAAUGCACUUAAACAGAAAAGGUUUUUUUUUUUUUUUAUUUUGAGACAGGGUCUCACUCUGUCACCCAGGCUGGAGUGCAGUGGUGUGAUCUAGGCUCACCACAGCCUCUGGCUCCUGGGUCCAGGUGCUCCUCCCACCUCAGCCUCCCAAGUAGCUGGGACUGUAAGCACAUGCCAUCAGCCCAGCUGAUGUUGUUGUUGUUGUUGUUAUUGUUGGGGACAGGGUCUCACUCUCUUGCCAAGAAGGCUGGUCUCAAACUCCUGGUCUCAAACAAUCUCCAUGCCUCGGACUUCCGAAGUGCUGGGAUUACAGAUGUGAGCUACCACACCUGGCCUAAAGGUGUUUUUUUUUCUAAAUCUUGCAAAAUCAACAUCAAUGUAAUGUACCUACUGAUUAUUUGAAGAAUUUCAAUGUAACCAUUAGGUGGACAUCCGGCAUAUAAUUAUAAUUGUUUUGGGGUUCACAGUUUGACUUAUCUGCCCUUUAUAUGCUAGCUACAUUAAACAUUUUUUUAAUAGUUUAUUUUUGUUAUUGGAAUGUAGGAAGACUUUGAGUUGAUGAUUUGAUGGUCCAAGUGUCUUAAUGUGGGAACUAGGACUCUUUUCUGUUAUUAAAAUUCCCUAUAGUAAAGAGAAUAUUUAAAACUUUUACUAGUUAAGAGCAAUAAUCACUUUGAGUCGAUCUUUGAAGACAUGAAAACAGAAGUUAUUUCUGUGGCUGCAGUAAGGACUUCAGCUCCAGAGGCUUGGACAGCGGGUGCCUGAACCGUCUAGUCUUUUGGUUCACUUUCUUUUCAUUGCUUACCAUUUCAGUGACAAUUUUAUGACAGCAGAAAAGGAAAAACAGAGACACAAUGAGGAGGCCUGGAAUCUGGUAUAGAAGCUUGAAAGUUGGAGUGGCAGGUGGGGAGAGCAGAGCCGGAGAGAGGAAAAGAGCAGUUAUGCACGUGUGUGUGUAUAGACAGAUAAGUAGAUAAACGGAUAGAAAGAUUGAUUUACCUAGAAAUACCUAUUUCUUUUGAAGCUGUGAGCAGACUGGUUGCUUGGAAACCAUUGAUUCCUCAUAAAUAAUGUGUUAAACCAUGCAUCAUAAAUUGACAACUUCUUUUCAGUGCCAAUGGGAAUAAGAUGAAGGAUUUCAGACCCACAUGGGCAACUUGAGCUUUGCAGAUACUCAAAGAUGGUUAACUUUGAAUAUUCAGAGAUGACAAACUGACAUCAGAUGAAGGAGAUAGUAUGAGUAACUCACUUCAUAGUUGGUAUGACAUGUGGUAGGCUAUCACUUAAUAAAGUUCCCUUUGCUCUUCACUGAGAACAGGUCAAGUCGAUAUUAAUAUUUGUAUAAAAUGUUUUAGCUGGUCAUAAAAGUCGUUUGUUUCUUUGCAUCAAUGGAGUGCAGUGGAAACAAAGUAAGUUUUAAAGUCAAACAGAAACAGGUGUGAAUUUCACCUCUCUCCUCACUUGCUCUGUGACCUUGUGCAAAUUAGUUGGUAUCUCUGAAUCCCAGAUUCCUCUUACAUGAAAUGAUAUUUAAAAUUUAACAAGAAUCAGGCCAAGCACAGAGGCUCACACCUGUAAUUCCAACACAUUGAGAGGCUGAGGCAGGAUGAUCGCUUGAGGCCAGGAGUUUCAGAUCAGCCUGGGCAACACAGCAAGAUCACAUCUUUACAAAAACUUUUAUAAAGUUAGCCAGGUGUAGUAGCACCUGUAGUCCCAGCUACUUGGGAGGCUGAGGCAGGAGGACCCCCUUGAGUUCAGGAAUUUGAGGCUGCAGUGAGCUGCGAUCAUACCACUAAACUCCAGCCUGAGUAACAGAGCAAGACCCUGUCCCUAAAAAAAAAAAUUUAACAAGAAGCAACUAUCCUGCUGUGAGGCUCAGAGAAAAUGUAUGUAAGGCACACAGGUCCUGGUGCCUUUUAUGACGUAGUGGGCAAGGUUCUAUGCGUAUGAGACACUGAGGUAAAGCACACAGACCAGUUCCUUGCUCUAGGGAGUUCAUAUUUUGGUAGGCAAGUGUUCAAUAACGGAUAGAGUUUAUUACUACAUGCAAACACUGCACUGUAAAGCACAGAGAAAUACUAGAUGGAACAUCUACCUUCUGGAGCCUGCAAUGUUUUGAGACAUAUUUGAGGUAGGAAAGAAAGAAUUAAAGGUCAAAGGGAAAAAUUGUAGAAGAAGGUACCACUAAAGAAAGGGGGAAGUGGCUUGGGGAAGAAAUUGGGCCACUGUUAAGGCAAUCCGUGGGCCUCAAAGGAAAACCUGUCCCCUCUGCUUCACCCUCGAGUGGUGGGAACAAAUGACAACAUCACCACUUGAGCAGCAACAGACAACCACAAAUUAACUGGUUACAGAAGGGCCACCUAUUAUGUUUCCACUCUCCCUGGUAUAAGAUUUUGAAGAAAAAAAAAUGACAUAAGACCAUAAUGGUAUACAUGUAACGUGUGUGUUUGUAUGUAUAUUUAUGCACAUCUGCAUCUGAGUGUUGGAUUGACAUGUUUCAAAACUGUGGGCAUUUACAAAAUUUACAGCGUGAUUAUGUGUUUGGGCUGCUUAUCCAUCGAUGCAUGAUUUUCAAGAAGGAAAGUGGAGAAGUGCCCUCAGUUAUUUCGGUCUCUUUUCUUCUUCACCAGGUCUCUUGAUGCAUAGGUGUGACCCACUGCAUAGGCCAGCAGAUGUUUUGUAAAUCCUCUGCAACUCUCUCCUUUGCAUUUCAGUUGCCACUGCCAGGUGCUUGCUCAUUCUUUUGCAGAGAGAAAGGAGAAGAGUGCAAAGAUGUCAUUGUGAAAAAUCCCUCUUCAUGCUGGGCAGUCUUUCUGCUGCUUUGCAGCAUGAGACGGCAGCAUUAGCAUCCACAGCACGGCAGGUAUUUCCCCUCGGGGAUUACGAUUUCUGUUCAGCACUGAGACAGUCUAAUGUGCUGAGAUUAUUAUCAUAUAUAAGGUUUUGUGUACUGUUUACCAGAAAAUACCUCCAAAAGGAAGACAGACUGAGGUUAAUACAUCUCUUUUGAGUGCUCCAUGCACAUCUGAGUGCCAGAAUUCUGUGCUUUAUUAAGUUCUUUUGUGGGCUCUGAUACGGAAUUGUGCACAUGUGUCCCUGCAACAUACAUUAUCUUAUUCCUUUCAAAAGGUGAUUUGUCUCACCAGAAGGCAGCAUUCUCCUAGGUUCUGCCAGAGUAACUUUGACUUCUUUGUUUAAAAUAGCUACUUUAUUGUCCUUAACAUUUCACCUGACAAAGUAAGCAAUUUAAUUGGGUGCACAUUUCAUGCACCUGCUGAAAGUAUUUGUCUCUUCCCUGCCAAUUCCUAAACCAAGCUGGCAAGGUGAAUAGUUUGAAUGUAAUUUGAUUGCAGAUAGCAAAACUGUGGAGAGGAGGGAACUGAUACCCAUACUGAAGCCAUCUCUUUAAAAACAAACAAACACACUGAGCUCCAAACACAUAACAUGAAAACUUCCACUCUCCACUUGGAAGAAUAAUUUUAGCCACAUGUUGAUAUUUAGUCACUGGUCACUGUGCCCAGUGGACUGCUUGGCACAUAAUCAGAGCUUGAUAAACAUGUGCAUUCAUUGAUAAAUAUUGAUGGCUGAUAUAGAGAAUGUAAUCUUGUCUGUUCUGGAAAUGGAAAAUUUUAAGUUGGUAUCAACACAUAUCAGAUAUUUUUUAUUGAGAUAAUACUGCAAAUUUCCUUCAAAAUAUUGACAGUUUAAAGGGUCUUUGUGUUCUAAUAAGCCCAAUUUCCUUUUAGCAUCUUAAGGAUCAUUACUGUUAGGUAAUAAAUCUUGUGGGCACAUGUUUUCUAACAAAACUGGGUAGACUGUGUGACUCUAGGAUUCAAAGCUGCAAGGCAUGCCCUGUUACUUACAAACCCAAAUCGGAUUUCUUAUGUAUAAGGUGCGCCAGGAACAUCUGGCUCUUUAUUGAGCUUUUUAGUCAUAAAUUUGCUUGUUAAGUUUUGAAGUAAUAUUAAUCUUACAGAAAUUUUGGAGAUAUAUACAUGUAUAACAUCAUCACCUUAACUCAAUGCCUCUUUCAUCCUUAUUUUUGGUAGCCCUAGAGAGUGUGUGAUAAUUGCAACUACAGUUUAUAUACCCAUUGCUUUAUUUUAUUUUAUUUAUUUUUGAAACAGGGUCUCGCUCUGUCACCUGGACUGGAGUGCAGUGGUACGUUCUUGGUACACCUCAAACUCCACCUCAGGUUCAAGCAAUUCUUCUGCCUCAACCUUCUGAGUAGCUGGGAUUACAAGCAUGUGCUACCACGUCCAGCUAAUUUUGUAUUUAAAGAGAGAUGAGGUUUCUCCAUGUUGGUCAGACUGGUCUUGAACACCUGACCUCAGGUGAUCCACCUGCUUCAUCCUCCCAAAGUGGUGGGAUUAGAGGCCUUAGCCACCGCGUCUGGUCUUUUUUUUUUUUUUUUUAAUGGAGGCUCACUCUGUCACUCAGGCUGGAGUGCAAUGGCCCAGUCUCAGCUCAGGGUCUCACUUUGCCACCCAGACUGGAGUGCAGUGGUCCAGUCUCAGCUCACUGCAGCCUCUGCCUCCCAAGCUCAAGCAGUCUUCCUACCUCAGCCUCCUAAGUAGCUAGGACCACAGCUAGGACACAUUCCACUACACCUAGCUAACUUUUUCUUAGUAUUUUUUGUACAGUUGGGGUUUCACCAUGUUGCCCAGGCUGGUCUCGAACUCCUGAGCUAAAGGGAUCUGCCUGCAUCAGCCUCCCGAAGUGCUGGGAUUAUAGGCAUGAGCCACCCUGCCCAGCAGCAACUUGCUUUUUUUUUUUUUUCUUUGUUUUCUUCAAAGAUAAUGUCCUCUCAUAAGCAUUUUAUGUUGCUGCAUGGUCUUCAUAGUUGUAGGUAAUUCCACCACACCUGGUAUAAUCAAAUUCAUAGAUGUGAUUUUUAAUGUCAGCAUUAUAUACAUACAUAUACAUAUUAUAUACAUAUAUACACACACACAUAUAUAUAUAUAUAUAUACACACACACACAGCUAUAGAUAGGUAGGUAGGCAGAUAGAUACGGAGAAAUAAUAGCCACUCACUGUUUGUAAACCAAAGAUUCAGCAGUCUCAUCUAUGACAAAAGAGAUGAGUCAAAAACCAAGAAACAAACCCAAAAGGUCUUUGAAUACUCAAAUUAUGUGACACAAAGCUUAUUAAUCUUAAACACAGCAUUUCUCAAUACUCAUUGAGAAUCUAUAAUGUUACUUUAUGUGUAAAUUCAACACAUGUGGUCUUAGUAUUGAUUUUAGUAUUAGUAUUAGUAUUUGUAGUGGCUUGACACUGUUAGGCCAAAGAAAACAAAAAACUCUGAAAAGAAGCAUGCAUCCUCAAUAAGGACAGCAGCUUACAGCCUUCUAGUAUAAGAGAAAAAUGACUGAAUACAUCCCAAGGUGCUUCAGUGGCACAGUAUCCUCAUUAAGAUUCAUGGUAAUAAACCAUUUAAAAAGUGCUACUUUAUAUUCAAGAUGCUGUGUUUCCAAAGGCAGGAAAACAGCUAAUCUAUCUUGAGAUAUUUCCAUCCAAAAUCAAUUUUUAAAAAAUUAAAGCUAAGGCUUAAAGGAACAAAACUCCUCAAAAUUUGCCUCUUUGAAACAAUUUCUAUCUUGCUGAUUUAAGUGAGGUUUUAAAACUAUUCACUGUUUCCUAUAUAUUAUCUUUUAUUUGAACUUUGAUAUAUCCCACUGUCUCGAUGUGAUUAGAAGAAGAGCAUUUCCUGAGACAACAGCUGAUUGUUGGGCGAUGCUAGAAUUUAACAUGAUAAAGGAGAAAAGGAUAAUAAAUGGUCCAUGACAACAAAUAUUAUUCUCGAUGCAAUGCACUGAGAUUUUCAUUACUCUAUCCAUAACUUUAGGCUGGAUCAAUAGCACAUAACGAUUAUAAACGGAGUAACUAAACAACCCACACAGGAAAUCAGACCUGUGUGCUAACAUUUUUAUCCUAAACAUCAGAAAUAAUCACUCACUAAUGGAAGAUCAAGAUAUGUCCAUUUUCUCUGAAAUACUCGUACCAAUAUACAUACAUGUGCAUAUACAUGUGUUAAAAUACAAGAUUUUCUAUAAACACAGAUAUAUAUAAGGGUGCUUGCUCAUAUUUCUUUUCUCCUACUAUCAUUUUUUUCCCAAGCUUCUUUAGGCUCCAUUAGACUGAAUCAAGGCGCCAAUCUCAUUUCUAUUAAAAAUCUAAUGUAACUGGUAGAGACUUUUAUUUGGAAAUUUAAUAGCACUUCACUUAAAAAGUGGGGGAGGGGUAUUUGAUAAAAGGUUUCUCAAGACAUUGGUUUGAAGCAUGUCUGAUUAUCUCAUUUUAAAUGACAUUUAAUAGGUUUUUCUUUUAGGUCCUGAUAAACAUUUCAGUCUUACUGAUCACUUUGAAAAUAAGACAUGGGAACUUGAGGAAAAUGGAUGGGUUUCUGGUUCUGAAUGUUUUCUCAAAUGGCUUUCUGCUGCCAGAGAACACGAAAUGAACUCCCCUGAGAAAGAAAUCUACCUCAAUUUAAAGGAAGUAAAUCUUUCUUUCUUCUUUUCUUUAAAAAGGUCUGUAAAUUCUUGGGUUAAUGGCUGAGAAUCAAAGGACAUUCAUUAGAACCACUAAAAUGCCAAGGAAAUGAGACUUUUUUCCCGUGUUUCUCAAAGCACAUUUAAUCUGAUUGACUCCCAGUAUCAAUGAUUGUUCUAUCUAGAAUGUCAUAGACAGGCACUGUUCUUCUUAAAUAGAAGUCCAAUGACUUUGCAGAUGGCGCCUGAUUCAUCUCACAGUGCAAGUCCUCUAAAGGUGACAUGGAUGCCCCCGCUCCCCAGCAGGAAUUCUCCAGUGGGGCAUGAGUUAGGCGCUGCAGUUUUCCCAACAUAAGAGCAAGGACAGAAGCUCCCUAGGAGAGUGUGAAAGAAUGAGCCAAUUAGGAAGGCUUUGCCACAUGGCCAGUAGUUCUGGAAGACUUAGUAGCAGAGCCCACACAAUUAACAAUAAAGCACUUGGGCUUCAGUGUGGUAAGGUCCCAUGUCCGUGAUUCGGUCAGCCAGACCCUACAGGCAUUUCCUUGUAUGAACGCAUAUACUUGCCAGGAAGAGAAGAUACCCUAUGUGAGAGAAUGAGAGAAUGCUGAGUGGUCUGCAACCCCCUGUGAAAAGGAGCUUCAGCAGAAUUCUUUGGAGACAUGGAUGAUAGGUCUGAUUGGAAGAGAAAAAAUAGACUACACAGCACACAGUAAUGGUAGUGGACAGACUGUGAGCAUGUAGGUCAGACAGCCUGGGGCUGUCACAGAGUCCAUAUGGGCAGGAAGUGCAAGAGCUAGGAAAUUUUGAGAUUUUGCUGAUGUUAUGAUUUCAUUGCUUUGCAGAACUGAUGAGGCCUGGCAUCGUUCAGGUCCCACCAACUAUGAUGUCAUAAACCAUCAUCUGUCCAGCAUUUAGUAGUUUUGUCAUCCCCCAGAUAAUGAAAUAAUAAUGAGGGAAAUGUCUUUCUUCUUUUUCCCCCGGAAUUCCUAGGAAUAUUUGAAAUAUAAAACAAAAAUACACAAUUCAUAUCACCAGGAAUUAUAUUAAACUAUUAAUUAUUAAUUAAACCUUACAUUAGGAGGUUUAAAUUUCCAGAAAAUAAAUAAAGCCAAUAUCUGUUCAAAGUGAGGUGAGUCAGAGACUGCUUGAUCACUGAGAUUUCCUGGGUGACUUCAUGCUGCAAAAAUUAGUGCCUGCUUCUGUCUCCUGCUCUGGCUUUGAGAUCUUAGGGGAUUUCUUGUCUUCUGUGUCCUUUCUCCUGUCAUGUCCUGGUAUUUGACUGCAAGGACUGAAACUUGGAACAGUCAUGAAUUCUUUCUUUCCUCUUGGCCCCAGUCAUAUUUUACCUCUUCAUCUCCACUACCGAUUCUUUUUUACUUUUUUAUGACAAAAUUUCACUUUCGUGGCCUAGGCUGGAUGGAGUGCAAGAGCAUGAUCUUGGCUCUCAGCAACCUCCGCCUCCCGCGAUCAAAUGAUUCUCCUGCCUCAGCCUCCUGAGUAGCUGGGAUUAUAGGCAUUCACCACCACACCCAGAUAAUUUUGUAGUUUUCGUCCAGACAGGGUUUCUCCAUGUUGGUCAGGCUUGUCUGGAAUUCCCUACCUCAGGUGAUCCACCCGCCUCGGCCUCCCUCCGCUCCCUAUUGUUAUCCCCAACCCUAUGCCAGAAAGUGGAUCUCCUUCCUUUUUCACAACUUCCAAGAAGCCACCAGAAUAACAUUGGUUACUGCUGCCCUAGCCUAUGGUCUAACUCCUCCCUCAUUUACAUGCACUGCGGAUACUGCUGGUCAAUAUGCCUGCACUCUUGCCCAUCAGGCCCACGUGCAGAUGCAGAGCUGUCUUUCACUUUUGCUCCAGGGAGCCACUGCUAGUUAAUCAACUUUGCACACAAGAUGAAAUUUUUUUGCCAUCCCUUCUGUAUGACAUUGCCUGGGGAAGGAAAACUUCACUCCUUCAUCAUUUGUUCUCACUUUAGCAGAAAAUCACUUUCCCAAUUGAGUCUCCAGUCGCUUUUGAGUCUCAGAGUGAGACUCAUUCAGUCUUGGUGUUUGUUUCCCAGGGCUGCUGUAACAAAAUAUCCAAAUCCGAGUGGUUUAAAAAUAAUAGGAAUGUGCUGUCUCACAGUCUGAAUCCAAGGUGUCAGCAGGGACCUGCUCUGUCUAAUGGCUCUAAAGGAGGAGCCUUCCUUGCCUCUUCCAGCUUCUGGUGUUGAGCAGUCCUUGGAUGUGUUGGCUUGUAAAUGCAUCAUCCCAGUGAACUCCAGCCUGGAAGACAGAGUGAGACUCUGUCUCAAAAAAUAUAUAAUAAAAUAUAAAAAUAUUAAAAAUUAGGUGUUGCUCUACCAAAUGGUUUCCUCUCUUGUCAUGUAUUCUGUGAUUUUUGGUACUACCACUGAAAAACAAUAUAUAUUUUUUAUUUUAUUUAUUAUUUUGAGACAGAGUCUCACUCUGUUACCCAGGCUGGAGUUCAGUGGUGCAAUUUCGGCUCACUGCAACGUUCACCUCCUGGGUUCAAGCGAUUCUCCUACCUCAGCCUCCCGAGUAGCUGAGAUUACAGGUGCACACCCAUAUGCCCAGCUAACUUUUCUAUUUUUGGUAGAGACGGGGUUUCACCAUGUUGGCCAGGCUGGUCUGAAAUUCCUGACCUCAGGUGAUUCACCCACCUCAGCUUCCAAGAUUGCUGGGAUUACAGGCGUGAGUCACCAUGCCUGGCGGAAAAACAACAUGUUUAUUAUGUUCUAAUAUGUUGUAAGAGGUAUUGAGGCCCUAAGAGAAAUUAUUGGGAAGCCAAUUUGAAGUAUCAGUAAAUUGAUGAGGGCCACGCAAUGGCUCAGAGCUGGGGUGACCCAUCCUUUCUCCUUUUCUUCCUCCCUAUCCUGUAAAAACAAACACAUCUAACAACAGAAAACAAAAAUCUUACCAAGGAAAGUCAUAAUCUCAAUCAGAAAAACCCAACUUUAGAAAUAAUAAUACCAGACAUAGAAAUACGGAGGAAUGCAGAAUAGGAUGGCAUAGCAGAAGUCAGGAACCAGAUUCUGAAUCUGCCACUGCCCAGAGUGGCAGAGUUGAGCAAGACAGCUCACUUUCCUGGGAAUCCAUUUCUUUCACCUGUCAUAAAACAGACCAGAUGAUUUCUGAAAUCUCUUUAGAUUUAUAUUUACUGAUGUAUUUCUAGGCAGCAUACAAAAAUCCCAAAAAGCCCUCUAGUUCUAUGGCCUAAAGCCUUCCAAUAUUCUGGAGAGCUUUCUGUGGUCGAUUCUUCUCAGUGGGUCACAAAAGUAUACAAUUAUUGCUGGUAGGAAAUGAAAAAGGUAAACAUUGCUCAGAAAGUAUUCAAAGAGCACUGAUGUUACAAAAAAAAAAUCAUUCCUCACUCUGAUAGUUUAUGAUAGCAAAGCUUGUAGAACUUGCUUUUAGGAUACAAACUCCUUAUCCCAACAUGCUGAAAUCAGGGCAAUCUCUGGAAGUCACUGACUCUUGGGUCUGAUGAGUAUGUAAAUUCAUCACCUUGCUUUGUCAGCACUGGGCGUAAUGCAUCCUACAUGAAGAAAUUGUAACUUACAUCCUAAAAUCUCUAGGUGACUUCGCUGCUGUGGAACCUUUGCUAUAUUAUUGCAACCCGAAGCAUCGAUAAUCCAGCCUUCUAACCUAAAUCUCCAGCACUGCCAAUUUCAACUCAAUUUAUUCAAAAGGCACAUAUUAAGUGUCUACUGUCAAGAAACAAACAUUACAAAAUGUAUAAAAUUGAAUAAAAAAAUCCUGGGCUCAAAAAUUGUACUCUCUUGCAGAAAUCGUAGACCUACGUCAUGUGUGCUGCCAUCACCUUGCUCCAGUGUCCCUUGCAGACUUUUUUUUGUUCCUGUUGAUGGACACAGCUUCAGCAUCUUUGACAAAACACCUAGACAGGCAAAAAGAAGCUGAUCAGAUUUGGCACAGGAGAUAAUAUCUAUUUGUUAACUCUGGUUGGCAUGUCAUGUCAUGAGUCAAGACAAUUUUUUAAAAUGCAAAGUCAGGAUUCAAAUAAUGUGCUAAGAGAGGGAAAAUGAAGGAGGAUUUAUUCAGAAUGAAAGGAGCAGAGAGGGUGUAUUAGUCCGUUCUCACACGGCUAAAAAGAACAUACCUGAGGCUGGGUAAAUUAUAAAGGCAAGAGGUUUGAUUGAUUCACGGUUCGUCAUUGCUGGGAAAGCCUCAGGAAACUUACAAUCAUGGUGGAAGGCACCUCUUCACAGGGUGGCAGGAGGGAGAAUGAAUAGCCAGUGAAGGGGGAAGCUGCUUAUAAAACCAUCAGACCUUGUGAAAGCUAACUCACUAUCAUGAGAACAGGAUGUGAAACUGCCCCCAUGAUUCAAUUAUCACUACCUGGCCCCUCCCAUGACACGUAGGGAUUAUGGGAACUGUAUAGCAUUCAAGAUGAGAUUUGGGUGGGGACACAGCCAAACCAUAUCUGAGGGCUUCAUGGAUGAGAAGGUACUUACAAGAGACUUUACAAAAUUAAUAUGAUGUCAGUAGAUAGACAUCAUAUUUAGGGCAUGAAUGAAUUCGUGUCUAGGACAUGAAUAUUCCUGACUGUGAUAACAGCAGGAACAAAGAUGUAUAGGAGUUGUCAAUACAUAUAGGUGGAACAACAUGCAUUGACAACCCCUGGUGACUGGGUUAUGUGUGUAUAUAAGGCUAUAGUGGGAACCAAAACAUAACUAAGAGUUAUGCCAUGAAAAGCCUUCAAUAUAUUAGGAAGUUGAAUUUUUUAUUCUGAGAUGGUGGAAAUGCUUUUAAGGGAAAGCAAUAAUGUACUACUUUAAUCAAUUAAUUUAAAAUGGAACAAUAAAUGCCUAAAGUACCCAUUUCUCCAAAGAGCUGCAAAGCACAAGGUUUCUCUAAAAUCUGCUUAAAGCUUUGUCAUGGAAAUGUGUAUGUUUCUUUUUUAUUUCAUUCCCUCAGAUGUAGGGUAGUAGGCCAGGCUAAUAGGUUGUAUUUUUGGUUGAACAACUUGUCUCAGAGGAUGUUUGUACCUUGGUAGCAUUUUCCCUCCUUUCUAUCAAAUCUGGGUAGACUGCUUUGUUGUGUAGGUAACGAAAUAUCGCUGUAAGAUGGGUGAAUUUUUGUCCAGGGACUUCCUGAAUACCUAAUUUUUAAAACAUUUUGCUCAGUUUCUGCACAGUGAAACAAACUCAACAGAGUAAACAGACAACCUACAGAAUGGGAGAAAAUAUUUGCAAACUAUGAAUCCAACAAAGGUCUGAUACCCAGAAUCUAUAAGGAAUGUAAACUAAUCAACAAGAAAAAAACAAGCCCAUUAAAACGUGGGCAGGGGAUGGGAACAAACACUUCUCAAAAGACAUACAAGAGGCUAAGAAACAUAUGAAAAAAUGCUCAACGUUUUGACUUGCAUCAGAGGGAUGCAAGCCGAAACUACAAUGGGGUAGUAGUAUGUUACACCAGUCAGAAUGGCUAUUACGAAAAAGUCAAAAAUAUCAGCUGUUGGCAAGGUUGUAGAGAAAAUGGAAGACUUAUAUGUUGGUGGGAAUGCAAAUUAGUUCAGCCUCUGUGGAAAGCAGUUUAGAGUUUUCUCAAAGAACUAAAAAUACAUAGAACUAUCAUUCUACCCAGUAAUCCCAUGUGUGUGUAGAUGGUCCCUCCUCCCCAAGCUCUGGUCUUUUCACUCCCUUUAAUGGGUACCUUUGUACACUAUUCCUAUAGACAGCAACGUGCUCAGUAGUCUGAAGCUGUAACAAAGCUUCACCAUUGUGAAAGCUUGUCCUCUGCUUAUUAGAACUAUUCAAAUAUACUAGUUUACAAAGCUGUAAAAUGAUAGCUUUGAACUUCUUGAUGUUCCAGGACAGUCCCGCUUCUUGACAGCCUCCUACAUUGUUCCCACAAAUGUCCUUGAUCUUGUUGGAUUUGGGGGAUUUGUUUCUGACAUAAGGAAUAGAAUGUGUGGUAUGUUUUCCUCCACCUAUAAAACCUAAUGAUUCCAUUCCCCUAGGGAAUGCAGAUGGUUCAAUGAUGGGAGAGCACCGUUUUGGCCCUAGGUUCCAUCCUUUGCUUUUUGUCCUUUCCCUCCUCCCUCCCCACCCUAAGAAAGGCACCCACCUCCAAGAGGAACAGCUGAGGGAGCCUCAGAGAUACUCGCUUCCUGCUUGAGAGAGUGAUUCUAGAGGGAGAUUUACAACUCUUUCAGUUAUGUUUUCUGUCGUCUGGGGAUAGGCAUGGUACUCAGCAAAUUUCAGCCCAAGCAACAGUUUUGGGGAAGAAGCAUAAUGACAAUAAUGCCAGAAUUUAUUCUUUCCCUGUGCCUAAGUAAUUCAAGCUGAUGGAGGUGUUCGUGGUUACAGACUGAAAGACUUUCACUUCCUCUCAUCUAGAACAAAUUACAGUAUGUCAAGCAAGCAGAUUGCACAUAUUAUAGGACCUGAGCUUUUCCCGGUAAAGGAAAAGAGUCAGAAAAAUAUUAGGAUUGCAUUUUUAACUUCACUUAUGGGCUACUUUAACCUCUUCCUCUCUCCCCACCCUUCCACCCCCACAUCCCUGGUAGAGGACUGACUCCAUGCAACUCUGAAAUUCUCCCAUCAGUUUUCCUCCCCGCCCCCAAAAAAAGAAUGGAAAAGUUUCAAGAAUUCCCCCCCCCGUACCCUAGGACUGCUAUUUUUUUUUAAUGUCAGAAAGAAUUGGUACCUACAAGCCUCCACCCACUCAAUAUUCUUUCCUCCCACACACAUGCCAUGUCUUUGCAGGCUGAUUUGGGGUAAUUGAGAAGUCAUAUUCAAAAUGUACCAUUUAUGUUCACAACAGUUAAGGAUGCUCUGCAGGAUGCCCAACUUCCCUCUGCAAAUAAAAUGCUAUGCAAGUUGCCUUGCUGAGAAGAGACUCUGUGCUUUGGUGACAGAAAAGAAAUACCAACAAUAGAUGGGAAGGGUUUCCAGCAGGAUCAUAUGCUAGGAAAUCAAGUGGCCUGUAGGUGCUAAACUAGCUUUCUGUUUCUCACUGCUGUUGCACUGAAUCAAAGCUUUUGAAGGAAAUACGUGGUACCUUACGGGUUACGGGCCAUCAUGCCAUUUUGCAAAACGCUUUUUAAUCCUCCUCUCUCCCUCCCCUCAGUUGCCUGUUGUGUUUGCUAAGCUUUAAGCUUAGCUAAUAGUUUGGAACCUGUAGUGAUGACAGAGAGAGAAAGAGAGAGAGAGAGGAGAGAGAGAUGAAAGAAUAGAGAUACAGAGAGAGCUAUGGAGAGACAGAGAUAUAGAUAUAAAGAAGAGAGGGAGACAUAGAGAUACAGGAAGAAUGAAGAGAAAGAACUAGGGAAACAGAAAAAGAAUAGACAGGGGGAAAGUGAGAGAUGUAGGAGAUAAAGAUACAGAAAUAUAAAAGUAGAGAUGAGAGAGACAGAGAUGAGAUCGAGAGGUAGAGGUAAAAAUAGGGAGGUCAGGGAGAACUGGACAUGAGUUUCUUCUGUCCUAGGGUUGAGGGCGGACCUCUAUGGGAACCGUCCACUAGGGAGAGUAGGCAGUAAGUCAACCAGGAGGCACUGAAUCUGACUUAUGUAAAUACAAGACUAAAGAAUCACAGAAUGUAAAGGUCAGUAAUCCAGUUUAACACCAGCUUUUAAGCUGAAAUGAGAAGAGCUCUUGGAGAGAUUUCAUGGUUUAUCUGGGGUCACACAGCUAAUUGAGAUACUAGGGUUCACCAGGCUACAAGCUGCAUCAGGCACUGAUGACAGGAAAAUAUUCAGGUCUCCAACAGAGAGGGGUUGCAGCAUACUUAGGCAAAUGCUCAGUUUUGGACCUCCAGCCUGGGUAUUUGUACUGGUCUCUUCAGUUCAGAGGUCAAGACCAAAACCCAGGUCACGAGGCCCUCAUCCUAGCACUCUAGCCUUCACAGGAGGCACCUGUCUAUCUUCUGCAUCUUCUGCGCUGGCUGCUUCUAGGAGGCAAAGGAACCUUGAACCUUAAUAGCCUCAUUGCAAACCAGAAAUAACAAUGCCUAAAUAAUUGGGUUUUUCCAACAACUGAAUUACCUAAUAUACAAGUUAUUUCUAUUUGUCAUGCUCUUUUCUAAAUUCUUAGCAUGUACCAAUUCCUUUGUUAGUAACCAUAAUGAUUUCCAGCUCAGUUAUUAUCCCCACUUCAUUGAAGGGGAGAAUGAGGUACAGAGAGGGCAACUGACUUGCCCCAGAGGUGAAUUAAUUCGAUGUUUGACAAGGUGCAGAUGAAUGGAGGAAUCAGAAUUUUAACACUAGCAUUCUUGCUGGAGAAACCCAGUCCAUUAUCAUAGCUCUCUCUCUCAACGCCUAAUACACAGUAGCACUUCACAAAAGGCAAAUUCACUGUCACUAUCAGCAUUAAGAAUUUUAAAGUCAUGGUUACCACAUUGCAAGAUGGUCAAACAUCAAUAGGUUAUUUGUUGGGGUUUUUCCUCCUUUCGUUUCUUACAUGAUUUAAGUAGAUUAUCAGAGGAAUGAAGCAAGGGGAAGGGAGGAACUGGCCUGUCGUCUGUGUGUGGGUAGACACAUAAGACAGUCUGUAUGACUAGGCCCCUCUGUUUUUAGACUAACAUUGCCACAGUUCCACACCAAUCCAUAGACAUAUGUGCUGGGAGUAAGUUCAGGUGCUAAAGCCGGGUGCAGUGGCUCACGCCUGUAAUCCUAGCACUUGGGAGGCUGAGGUGGGCAGAUCACAAGGUCAGGAGAUCAAGACCAUCCUGGCCAACAUGGUGAAACCCCGUCUCUACUAAAAAUACAAACCUUAGCUGGACUCGGUGACAUGAGCCUGUAAUCCUGCUACUCGGUAGGCUGAAGCAGGAAAAUCACCUGAACCAGGGAGUCGAGGUUGCAGUGAGCUGAGAUCGUACCACUGUACUUCAGCCCGGUGACAGAGUGAGACUCCAUCUCAAAAAAAAAAAAAGGAAGUUCAGGUGAUCAUUGCAUAGGCCAGCCAUUCUAACCCUUCAUAUUUCUGAAGUUCCUUAAGGAGUGAUAACCAGCUUUUUUUCUUGUUGUUCAUGAUGAGAUGGUAUGCAUUUCUAAAGAUGCAUUUGAUAUGAAAAGACAUAUUCUAGAGUUGUCAAUCCCAGUAGAGAAAAAGGAGAGGACACGUGAAGCCAGGAGUGGGUGGGAGAUGUCCGCAGUCUUUCAAGACAAGUGGAUCAAGACCCUUUCAUCAAUUUCACCAAAAUAGCACCUGGGGAAGAAGACGAAGAUACUGCAGAGAAACAUGGAAUGGCAGAGAAAGAAAGGGGCAGUGGGAAAGGGUGAGGGGAGGGGAAAGAGAAGAAAGUUGUCAAAUUCUUUCUUACUGUCCUGAAAAUAGCAGAAGGCAUAUGUCCUGGUCUUUCCCAGGGGAUCAUAGAGAGAGUGUAGCAACAGUUUAUGGAAACUUAAGGAGUGUUUAAGGAGUGCUGGAGCAGCUGCCUCCAAGUCCGGAUCCCACUGCUGUGUGCCCCUGAUGCCCGCCCGACAUGCAUUCCUGGUUCCUUUUGGUUCCAAGUCCAAAAUGGCAACUCUCAAGGAUCAGCUGAUUCAUAACCUUCUAAAGGAAGAACAGACCCUUCAGAAUAAGAUUACAGUUGUUGGGGUUGGUGCUGUUGGUAUGGCCUGUGCCAUCAGUAUCUUAAUGAAGGACUUGGCAGAUGAACUUGCUCUUGUUGAUGUCAUUGAAGAAAAAUUGAAGGGAGAGCUGAUGGAUCUCCAACAUAGCAGCCUUAUCCUUAGAACACCAAAGAUUGUCUCUGGAAAAGAUUAUAAUGUAACUGCAAACUCCAAGCUGGUCAUUAUUACGGCUGGGGCACGUCAGCAAGAGGGAGAAAGCCGUCUUCAUCUGGUCCAGCGUAACGUGAACAUCUUUAAAUUCAUCAUUCCUAAUGUUGUAAAAUACAGCCCGAACUGCAAGUUGCUUAUUGUUUCAAAUCCAGUGGAUAUCUUGACCUAAGUGCCUUGGAAGAUAAGUGGCUUUCCCAAAAACUGUGUUAUUGGAAGUGGUUGCAAUCUGGAUUCAGCCCGAUUCCAUUACCUGAUGGGGGAAAGGCUGGGAGUUCACCCAUUAAGCUGUCAUGGGUGGGUCCUUGGGGAACAUGGAGAUUCCAGUGUGCCUGUGUGGAGUGGAGUGAAUGUUGCUGGUGUCUCCCUGAAGACUCUGCACCCAGAUUUAGGGACUUAUACAGAUAAGGAACAGUGGAAAGAGGUUCACAAGCGGGUGGUUGAGAGUGCUUACGAGGGGAUCAAACUCAAAGGCUACACAUCCUGGGCCAUUGGACUUUCUGUGGCAGAUUUGGCAGAGACUAUAAUGAAGAAUCUUAGGCGGGUGCACCCAGUUUCCACCAUGAUUGAGGGUCUCUAUGGAAUAAAGGAUGAUGUCUUCCUUAGUGUUCCUUGCAUUUUGGGACAGAAUGGAAUCUCAGACAUUGUGAAGGUGACUCUGACUCCUGAGGAAGAGGCCCGUUUGAGGAAGAGUGCAGAUACACUUUGCGGGAUCCAGAAAGAGCUGCAAUUUUCAAGUCUUCUGAUGUCAUACCAUUUCACUGUCUAGGCCACAACAGGAUUUUAGCUGGAGGUUGUGCAUGCUGUCCUUUUUAUCUGAUCUGUGAUGAAAGCAGUCAUAUUUUAAGAUGGACUGGGACAAACAUCAAUUCCAGAAGUUAGAAAUAGGAAUGGUUUGUAAAGUCCUACAGCUAUAUUCUGAUGCUGGAUGGUGGUAACCUUGUGUAGUCCUAAACUGGUUAGUGUGAAAUAGUUCUGCCAACUCUGAGGCACCACUGCCAGUGCUGCGCAUGCUGCAGUUGCCCCUUGAGCCAGAGAGAUGUUCAUUUGUUAUAUAACUUCCUGGCUCCUUCACUGAACAUGCCUAGUCCAACAUUUUUUCCCAGUCAGUCACAUCCUGGCAUUCAGUGUAUAGAUCCAAUAUCACAUGUCUUGUUCCAAAGGAUCUUAUUUUGUGAACUAUAUAAGUAGUGUACCUUGCCAUACAAUGUAAAAAGAUCUACAUGUAAACAGUGCAACCAACUAUCCAAGUGUUACACCAACUAAAACCCCCAAUAAACCUUGAACAGUGAAAAAAAAAAA
Molecule: non-coding RNA, 18890 nt
Organism: Callithrix jacchus (white-tufted-ear marmoset)
Lineage: Eukaryota; Metazoa; Chordata; Mammalia; Primates; Cebidae
Source: RefSeq, a predicted model, not a curated record